RNAcentral lists this ribosomal RNA (434 nucleotides) under uncultured bacterium. RNAcentral's name for it is "partial 16S ribosomal RNA". It matches the Rfam family "Bacterial small subunit ribosomal RNA", at positions 29 to 507 of the family's 1533-position model. The record is from RNAcentral.
AGCGAACGCUGGCGGCAGGCCUAACACAUGCAAGUCGAACGAACCUUUCGGGGUUAGUGGCGGACGGGUGAGUAACACGUGGGAACGUGCCUUUAGGUUCGGAAUAACUCAGGGAAACUUGUGCUAAUACCGAAUGUGCCCUUCGGGGGAAAGAUUUAUCGCCUUUAGAGCGGCCCGCGUCUGAUUAGCUAGUUGGUUGAGGUAAUGGCUCACCAAGGCGACGAUCAGUAGCUGGUCUGAGAGGAUGAUCAGCCACAUUGGGACUGAGACACGGCCCAAACUCCUACGGGAGGCAGCAGUGGGGAAUCUUGCGCAAUGGGCGAAAGCCUGACGCAGCCAUGCCGCGUGAAUGAUGAAGGUCUUAGGAUUGUAAAAUUAUUUCACCGGGGACGAUAAUGACGGUACCCGGAGAAGAAGCCCCGGCUAACUUCGUG